AGAACCCUCUCAGAGACCACCAUCUGACUGAUCUACCAAUUGUUCUUAAAUCCAUCAUUACCAUACCACCUCUAAUAUAGCAAAACAAAAUGUAUUACCAUCACCUAGAUAUAUAAUCUUCUACACUAAUUUUGUUGGUGUGUGCAAAUGUCCAGUAAUACAAUAUUUCCAUACAAAAAACCUUACAGUAUAAUCUUCAUCUCCUUAAAAAGGAUCAUCAGUUAUAAUAUUUAUAUUUACUUAAUUUUAUCCUCACAUGACAUAUGUGUAAUUGUUCUCUUUCCUUUGUAAAUUAGUUAUAUGGUUUAUGAAAACUUCAGUGAGUUGUUCAGCAUGAAAUUCUUUUUUGCAUUUUAUACUCAUAUAUUAGAAAGAGCGUUCUAAAUUUAAUUUUCCACAUAUUAGCCCAGUCAUGUUUCCCACUCAUCUUAUUUACAAAUAGCUGCACUUAGCUAGUUUGCAUUAUGUAUAUAAAAGUGUAUUCUCAUUUCAUUGUGCUUUAAUUUAAAUUUUAAUUGUUUUAUUAUGGUGAAAGGCUAUAACAAUUUAGGUAUUCAUAGCUUACUGUGUUUAAAACAUAUCUCCUCUUGUAGAACAAUUUACAUAAUCGAAAAUCAUAUAAUUCAUACUAAGGAAUAAUAAACUACUAAGGAAAUAGGAAUACUUUAUGUAUGAAUGGUUUCUUCCAAUGAGAAGAUAAUUAUGUAAGAAUUCUUUAGCUCCAACUCUGCCUGUUGUUUACUUGCAGUCUUAUGCAUCCAUGGGUUGGAAAGACCGAUAGCAUAUCCAGCCCUGGGGAGGACAGGUAAUGGAGAAAGGAAAAUUAUUAGUUCUUGACAAUGUCAGUUGACAUAGUUCAAACUCUAAAUCAUAUUUGUAUAUUUUUUAGACAAUAUUAAUUAAUGAGUGAUCAAUAAGAAAUGUACUUGCGAACUCAUUUUUCUUGUUCUAGCUGGCACAUAGUACCAUCCACUCAGUCACAUACUGUAGGUGGUAAUAUCAGUCUGACACUGCUCAGGUCAAAGUCAAGUUCAUAAAGACUCUUGAUUCAAACAGCUACCUUGUAAACAAUGCCAUUGUUCUCUUUAUAUGUUGCCUUAUUCAUUUCGAUAAUCAUGUCAUUUCAUCCUACAUUACUAAUUGUCUUGUUCACUUGCUUGCCCUCAGUGUUUUUGUUUGUCUAUGAUUGCAUAGAUUGAAAUGUGCAAUGUGCACACAUAUACAAAAACACAAAUGCACAUGUACACUGUAUACUCAUGAAGUCAUACAGAUAAAUACAUAAGCAUAUUACUAAUGCAUAAAUAUAUAUAUAUACACAUAUACAGAUAAAUGUGCAAACAAUGCAUAUAUACAUGUGUGUGCAUGCACAUACAGAACCACACAUGUGUACACGACUUGGAAAACAGGCAGUCAAAUAUUCACAUACACAAACACAGGUGCCUUCACUGGUAUGUACACAAAAAUGCAAUCAUAUACAUAUGCUUACACACAAAUACAUAUACACAUACACACAAAAAUAGACACAUACAUGAUCUAUACUGUACCUAGAGUUUUUCUGCCUGGCCCACGGUCAGGGCAAAUCUCUCUCACCUGCCUGUCCCACAGCUGCUCAGACCCAACCAAAUAAACACAGAGACUUAUAUUGGUUACAAACUGUAUGGUCAUGGCAGGCUUCUUGCUAACUUUUCUUACAGCUUAAAUUAAUCCAUUUCCAUUAAUCUAUACCUUGCCACAUGGCUCAUGGCUUACUGGCAUCUUCACAUGGUGAAGCUGCUGUGGCAGCUGGCAGUGUCUCUCUGACUCAGCCUUCCACUUCCCAGCUUUAUUCUCCUGCUUGUCCCACCUACACUUCCUGCCUAGCCAAUGGCCAAUCAGUGUUUUAUUUAUUGACUAAUCAGAGCAACACAUUUGCCAUACAGAACAUCCCACAGCACUUUCCCCCCUUUUUUUUUAAAAGGAAGAUUUUUAACCUUAACAAAGUAAAAUUACAUAUAAUUUGGGAAUUUGGGCGUAGCUUCUCUUACUACUUCCUGCUGGAGGGGGGCACUGUAUCUUUUGGGGACACAAAGAAAAUUUUAGAAUUAUGGAAUAGUCCGUGAGGGUGUAUCAUCUGAGCCAGUUGCCUUCAAACCAUUCUGGAUGUUGGAUCAUCUGUGCCAUAGUGUCACCGGAGACCUUUCAGGGGGUCUUGGCUGGUCAAACCUGAUGUAUCUUAAUCUGGAACAAAUCCAUAGACUCUGGCUUUCUGUGGGAACAAAAGCAGAGUCUCCUUUCCAAAGCAACAUAUCUUUAUAUCCAAAUUUUGAAGUCAAAGUAUCUUUAAAAUAUACAUAUUGGUUUAACUCAACAUCUUUUACGAUCAAAUGUUUUUCUGCAGUUAAAAAUCCCAAAGACAACACAAUCCAGAUUCUCUGUGUAAUAUUCAUCUUUAUGUGGCUGAUUUUUUAUAUUAAUUUUACUGUCUCUUUAAAGACUUUAUUUUUUAAAACUAUGUAUUUGUUUAUAUAACUGUAUAUAUCACCUUUUUUGUCUCUUUCAAGCCUACGUAUAUUUUACACACAUUUUAAACUAUUACAUCUGAAUCUGUCUUGUUGUGAAUCUAUUGCUUUAAACUGCAGCAGCUGUGGCUGCUGGCUCCACCCACCUCAACUUCCUAACAUGGCGGUAGGGUACGUUUACCACCAGCUCUGGGAGCUAUUGUGGGUCUAUGCUUUUAUCCAAGCAGCAUGUAGGCCAGAAACCUCUUUUUUUGUUUUGUACUAGUAAAGGCUAAAUCCACCAUGCAGCUUAAUGUGCUACUUGCAGAGGCCUCAUUCCUGCCAUACUGCAGGUUGAGUGCGCAUGCUAGAAACCCACCAGUAGCUCAAACCGGCAGCUGCCGCUCAUUUGAGAGAGACAAUUAGGAACUGUUUUUAGCUCCGUUUUAGAAUCUUUUCUCAAGUUUUAGGUGGAAACUCUUGCUACGUUGGACGCCAUUUGUACCUAGAGUUUUUCUGCCUGGCCCAUGGUCAGGGCAAAUCUCUGUCACCUGCCAGUCCCACAGCCACUCAGACCCAACCAGAUAAACACAAAGACUUACAUUGGUUACAAACUGUAUGGCCAUGGCAGGUUCUUGCUAACUUUUCUUACAGCUUAAAUUAAUCCAUUUCCAUUAAUCUACACCUUGCCACAUGGCUCAUGGCUUACCGGCAUCUUCACAUGGUGUUUCUCAUCGUGGCAGCUGGCAGUGUCUCUCUGACUCAGCCUUCCACUUCCCAGCUUUAUUCUCCUGCUUGUCCCACCUACACUUCCUGCCUAGCCAAUGGCCAAUCAGUGUUUUAUUUAUUGACUAAUCAGAGCAAAACAUUUGCCAUACAGAACAUCCAAAAGCACUAUACUGUACAACACAAGAAUGCAUGCAUACACACAUAUAUAUAUAAUACACAAAUAUGUACAUAAACACACAUGCAUAAAUUUAUACAAAACUCAUAUAGAACAAACUCAUAUGUAUAAUUACACACAUACACAAGCACACACACAAAUACACACUUAACACACAUAUACAUGCACACACAUAUAAAUAUAAAUACACACAAAUACAUACAUAUAUACAAUUCACACAUACACAUGCACAUACAUAAAUGCAUACCUAAAUACACAUACAUGUUUAUAAACACAAAACACAUACAUACACAAUGCAUACAUACACAGGUAUACACAUAUACACACACAUGCACAUGCACAUGCACACUUGCAAAUGUUUGUAUACACCUGCGCCCACAGAGUGAACUAGUUGCUGAAGCCAGGCUGAUGACCAUAACCCUAUCCUCACUGACUUUGAUGCUUUAUCUUUGUAAUAAUUUAUUUUCCCUCCUCACUCAACUGUGAGCCUUUUAAAUACUGUUUUCAGGAAUGGUAUCUUCAUAUGAUUUCAGAGGAAGAUGGGUUCUGGGUUGUGUGAAAUCUCAUGGUCACCACUCCGUUUCCUGCUCUUUGGGUCAGUAAUGAUCUUGCUGGAGACUAGCAGAAUAUGUUCUGUCAUCUUUAGUGUUUAGGGCCUCCUCCACAUGAAUACUAUGUAUUUAUGCCAUUCCGUCUUCGAGAGGGUCUCACAGCCCAGUCACACGUGAAAGGAGGAUUUAUCCCUUAUACACUCUAUGACAGAAUUAUUAAAGUGAGGUUUCUUUACUUUCUGUUUGAUGGAAUGUGUGUAAAUGCUCAUGAGGGAUUAUCAUUACUGAUAAGCCUGGAUGUUUUGCAGCUCAGUUUUAACUCACACACUGUUAAGACUAAACCUCUCUAGGAGUAAAGAGAACAGAUGCCACAGCUCAUUUGCAUGAAGAUGAGAGGAUUCUGAGUAAAGUGAAGUGGUAAUUAGGUCCAUGGAAAGGAAUCAGCACAGCAAUGGUGCCUCCCAGCAUAUGCUUGAACUUGCUGAGCACCUGGGCAAUUGUGGACGCAUCCUCUUCUCUUUCGUGGGAACUCCUGGGUCUUCACAGCCUUUGGCUAUCUGGAGAAAAUACGUAGUAUUUUCAGCUCUUGGGGGUGCAGACUGUUCUCUGAACAAUAAACAGAUAUAUUCAUUAACUUGAUGUUCUUUGCAAUUAUUUAUUUAAAGGCUUAAGGGGAUAUGAAAAACAAAACCUUUAUAAGUUGAAAUGAGACUUGCUACCUAUGCAACAGUCUGUUGGAACCCAUCAUUUAUCUUCUUUAUUAUCUUUCACAGAAGCACGGUGUGAGAAGAAAGGAGUUGCUGUGUAAUUAAUUGAGAUAUUUAAAAGGGAAUUUUCAUGUGAUAAAAGCCUGGAGUUACAUAUCAAGUGUUACCUUAGGAAGAUCUUCAACUUUCCAUCAAAAUUAUAAUUUCAGAGAGAUGUUUGAAUAUUACAUUUCCCAUAGCACACUGAAGAACAGAGUCAAAGAGUUUCAAUUUUACACAAGUAAAUCUACAAAAUGUGUUAAAAUUCCAGCAUCAGAAAUACACAUUGCCCAAUAUGUGUGAACAGUAAUUCCACCAGUAACAUAUGUGCACACCAAAUUGUGAACCAAGUACCUCUUCCCUUUACACAUUCUAGUCAGAAAUGAGGAAAAAUAUAUACCUAAGGAGAAUCACCUUGGUAAAGACACUAAUUUGGGAAUCAUUCAUAAAGGAGCAUGCAUAUAUCCAACCCCAUCCCCCACUCCUGCCAGUUAGAAAUGCAGUUAACAGUCUACUGCUUGUGACUGUGUCAGAGUGGAGGGAGAGCUUAUGGGACUGACUCUGUACUCCAGGUGUAAAGUGUCAUGUGGAACUGAAUUAGAGGACCCCUGGGCUCUGCCAGUGGGGAAUUUCUAGCACAUGGAGACCUGCCCCUGUCAGCAGUGAAUGUGUUAAGAAAGAAAUUUCACACUUAGAGCUGCCUUCCUCAAGGCACAGCAUCCUCCUGUGUGGACCAGGUUGUGAAAUUGAAUCAGACAGAAGAUGAUGCUCCUGAAAGUCUCAGUGAGAAGUGAGCAGUCGAUGGCUAUAUGCGUUAAUUUGUGUUUUGAAGGUAAAUGUUGUGUAAAAGAAUUAGAUUGGGAUAUGAA
Molecule: long non-coding RNA, 5547 nt
Organism: Peromyscus eremicus (cactus mouse)
Lineage: Eukaryota; Metazoa; Chordata; Mammalia; Rodentia; Cricetidae
Exons: 2
Source: RefSeq, a predicted model, not a curated record